Microtus oregoni (creeping vole) is the source of this 916-nucleotide long non-coding RNA. RefSeq lists it as uncharacterized. The record is from RefSeq and is a predicted model, not a curated record. The transcript has 3 exons. NCBI's taxonomy places the organism in Eukaryota, Metazoa, Chordata, Mammalia, Rodentia, Cricetidae.
GAAUGUGCUACUUGCCCAGAAACCCCAAAAAGCAAAUGGAUGCUGGCCAUAUUUUGCUUUUCUGACAUUUCCUUGGGAAUCUACAAGAACCUCCCUUAUUCCCCUCCCCUAGUAAGACCAUUUAAGUGUGUGUUAAACAACUACAGAAUACUAAAUAAAACGUUUGGCCAAAACCAACCAUGAAGCUGCAGAAACGAUGCUUGCUCUUACUGUUUCAAAUUUUUGCAACUCUGUAGUGUCUCACUUUUAAAGGAACAGCUUGAUUGCAAAGGAGAAAAUAGAUAAGCAAUGAAGUUAUCUCCAACUUCCUAAAGGCUUAUGACUUCUAAAAAGUGAAUCUAUCCGCAUUCCACAUCAGAUUUAAAGCACCAAAUGCCUGUGAAACAGCAGAGAUGGUUGAUCCCAAUGGUCAUACUGUCACGGAGUGCUGAUUGGUUCACAGCAGAUUAAGUUGGCCGGAAGAAAAAGUCAAAUGCUCAGAGUUGUUGAAGCAGAGGAGAGCUGAGGCUAAGCUGCAGCAGUUACAUACCCAGUGCCCGUCAGAAUUGGUUUGGUACAGGCAAUAUAGGAUUUUCCUGUCCUCAAGGGAGGGAGGCAUCAGUGUUGGUUAGACCUUAGUUAGGGAGUGGUGAUUGCUUAAAACUGACCAAAUGAAGAGAGGGAGACAAAGAAAUUGGUAAGUGGAGGUACCUACCCAAGAAGUUCUCAUGGCUCUUUGUGUAGAUUCAAUAGUUUAGGCAAAGUAAUGGGACAACUCUCCUGAUGAUCACUGACUGUAGGAAAAUUGAAUUAGCCCGGGCUGUAACUCCACGGUGGCGUGCUUGUCUAAAUACCAGUGAAGCCUAGCGUUCAACCCCUAGAAUCACUCCCACACAGGAAAAGAACACUCAGUCAGAAACCUGAUGCUUCUGUGAUA